This is a long non-coding RNA of Wasmannia auropunctata (little fire ant), 1731 nucleotides long. RefSeq lists it as uncharacterized. The record is from RefSeq and is a predicted model, not a curated record. NCBI's taxonomy places the organism in Eukaryota, Metazoa, Arthropoda, Insecta, Hymenoptera, Formicidae. The transcript has 2 exons.
CGGAUAUACACAUACGUCUCUUCGAAGGCUAUACGGAAUCGUGACCCUUUCGGAAAAAGCACCGAUACUCUCCAUUCCUGAAUGAUCGUGAUUCAGCCAACGGAACAUGCUGUCAAACCAUCGUAUCAAUCGCGCAAAGGGAACGAGAAAAGAUAACGUAUUAUUUUUAUAAUUUGUCAUCUUUGUAUCAUUGUUACGAUGGUUGAGAGGACUUGUAUAAAAAAAAACACACACACAGUAGCGUUUAACUUAAAAAGAAAAAAAAAAGAAGCAAACUGCGCCGCUCGCGUAAACGACAUUCAACACGAACACACGAUUAACACGCUACAACACACGAAACGUUAAUAUAUCAUACACUCCCCCGAAAACACGUGACAGGUUCGUCGAGACGAGCUCUCGCGUGAACGCGCGGCGCGUGAUAAACGCGAUCAAUCGACUAAACUGACGAUCCUAUUUGUUAUUAGAACCGCGGCCAUCGGUCGUCGUCACGCGGCACGAUACGGGGGAACGAAUUGCGUUUAGGGCGAACGAUUAACGUUUAAGGGGCGAAAUUCUUCGAUCUAUAAAUUCAUAUCCGGUAGCAAAUGUCGAGACAGAGUUUGCCGCUUUUGCGAGAGAGACGCUCUCCGGACCUUUAGACUUGGCGCUGCCAAGACCGCUGAAUGCAACGAUGAAAAGCCCGACAGCUGCACCAAUUGAACUGAUCGAUGUAUUCUUUUUUUUCUCGAGAGCGCUCAGGAUCUAUUUGGGAAACGUUUCGAUAUAUAUUGACAAGUUUGGGAUCAAAUUUUUUAAAUGAGAAUUUCUAAGUCUCGAAUGAAAUGAAUAAUCGUUCAAAGGAAUCGUGUUUUUCAGUGAAACUUGCCAAGAAAUUCAAUGUUGAGACAAAAGCUUCACUCGAUAUUUCGUCUGACAGUGAGAGGAAAGUCAAUUCCGCGAAUUUUUCGAAAUGUUCUUGAUAUAAUUUUCAGAUCUGAGGUCUCUCUGUGUAACGCAGAGAGUAAAAAAAGUUCACUAUAUCAGAGCAGCAAUCUCGCUCGAUCGACUCGUUGGUGCAAGCAAACCGGUCCUGGAUCGCGCUUAAAGGAUUUAAGUAGACCGUUAGAGGGCUAGAGCUACGUAAAAAGUAAUUCAUAUCAUUAAGUACGCGAAAUAGUGAUUUCGAAUUGGAGGCAAUGUGAGAGGAAGAGAGGAAAACGAGACAACUGAUUUCCUAUUAGUUUCUCUCUUUCUCCUGCGACUGCGUACUUCACCGGGUCCGCGGUAUACACGUGCGAAUUACGACUCGUCGCGGACGACGCCGUAUACAUGCGCACGUGCGGACCGCGGGGGUCCGCGGAGGCGCGUAUUUAGCUCAAGCUUUCCUUUUUAUAUUCUGUAAAUACAGCGAGUAAAUAAGAAUGGCGAGCAUUUUUAUAUAGUUAAUUUUAUAAUUUAUUUACUACGAAAGGGAGACAGACACGCCGCUCGUCUCCCCUUGCCGACCGUUCGUGGAAAACGCACGAGUUGGAGAUCCGAUGAGGAUUUAAAGAGUAAAAUAGGAGCGUGCAUACCAUACAGAAGACACACGUUACACAACGUAUACAUACACAUAGGACAUACACGCGCACGACUGUAGAUAAUUUGUAACAAUUGCUAUUGUCAAGUACCACGUAUAAAGCGACGUAUGCUGAUAUAUAUCAUUGCAUAUUAUACUGAUAACGAUUAAUAAAAGGUAAUGUUGAAAAUUAA